GUUUCGAUUCAUCUGAAAAUUUCAGAGUAGAUAGAUCUUCACUUAAUAAACAAUUUUACCCCAUGCCAGAUUGGCUCUAAAUGCUUUGGUUUCAGAGUUAUAAGCCAAAAUAUACAUUUUACCCAUAUGUUCUAUUUUUAGCCAUGGCGGCCAUCUUGGUUGGUUUGCCAGGUCACCGGACACAUUUUUUAAACUAGAUUCCCCAAUGAUGAUUGUGGCCAAGUUUGGUAAAAUUUGGCCCAGUAGUUUCAGAGGAGAAGAUUUUUGUAAAAGUUGACGACAGACGACGAUGGACGACAGACGCCAAGUGAUGAGAAAAGCUCACUUGGACCUUUGGGCCAGGUGAGCUAAAAAGGGUCUGUUAAAUUAUAAUUCUAAUAUCUCUUUCAAAAUCAACAUUAUAUUACAAUUAAAUAACCUGUUUUGUCUUUACACCGGUUUUCUCUUGAGCUUGGAUAGUCUUCAUUGUCAGUCUCAACCAAUACACUCAAUAAAUAAUUUGUACUAAUACAUACAUAAAUAUAUUUAUAAUUAUUUUGAGGACUACUUGAUUUGGAAUGAUAUACAAAUUAUGCAACUUUUACAAACAUAAAUAAACAAAAUUAAUAAGAAACAUUCCAUAAAAUUAAACAAAAUAAC
RNAcentral lists this long non-coding RNA (639 nucleotides) under Mytilus galloprovincialis (Mediterranean mussel). Lineage: Eukaryota; Metazoa; Mollusca; Bivalvia; Mytilida; Mytilidae. The record is from RNAcentral.